UUCAACUUCUCUAACCAGGUUUCAGUGCUUACUGCAAUGUUAGGAGUCUGCUAGCAAUAUUAGAAGAUAAGGAGAAUGGAUUUAGCAUGCCUUCUUGCUACCCAAGAUGCAGUCCCUUCCCCUGAAGAAAACCAAAAAAUUUAAUUUUACAAGUUCAAGGUGCAUGAAGUGGGAUGAGGAAAGCUGUAAUGAAGGGGAGGAGCCCAAUGGGGAGUCCAGAGUAUCUUCUAUGAGGUGGAGAGCUGCCAUCAGUCUCCUGGAGUAGAGGAAAAUGGAUUCUGGAAGUGGCAAGACUCUGUCCUGUGUUCCAAGUAUUGUUUAUAGUAGGGGUCACAGUCUAGUCUCCAUGAAAGCUGAAUGCAAACAGUGCAGUUCUCUUCACUGGGUGAUGGCAAAUGGACCUUCACAGUCCACAGUAUUGUAAUGGUGCCUACCAUAACAGAGUCCCUAUCAGAAAAAGGAGGGAUAGAAGCUGAAGAUAGUAAAUGAAUAGUACUCUCUAACAACAGUCAGUCGCUUCCUGCAAUCAAAACUAUGCCAGCAUGUGGCCUGUUCAAAUAAAAAUUACUGGACCAGAGCCAAACACGAAAAAGUAAUUGAUAAUGUGUUUUUUCAGAACCCACCUAUCCAUCAAAUGUGUCACUCCUCCAUAAUACUUUAUUGCCCCUUCUGAAGAAAGAUCUUUAAAAUUCAUUGUGUGCACUUAAAAACAAAGUGUCCUUGUCCUGGUUUAUAAUGAUUCUCCCUUAGUCUGGGUUUGUUUUGUUAUUUAAUUACAUUCUCUUCUAUCAUGCAUUUUUGUACAGAUAGUUUCUGGAAAUUUCUGCCGCUUUUAAACAAAGAAUCUUUUGUGCUGUAUCAGCUUGCAUUUUCCUUGGUUUGUGUUGUGCUGGUGUCUUUUCACUGACUUCAGCGCUGGAGCAUUGUAGUCAUAGCCUCACUAAGUAGACUGUAACAAACAGAUUCAUUGGCCCUUUCUCUGUGCUGCAUCUUAUUAACUGAUCUGUGGGAAAUGCUCUUUACAUUGUUAAGGCAUAUGCGCUAAUACAAACAAUAAAUUAACCUUAACUGGAGGAAGCUUUGAGGCUUCUAAUACAGUAACCUAGCAGACACCAGACUUUAUAAAAGCUUUAUACCUACCAAAUUUCAUAGACAUCUUUGUUAAAAUGUACUGUACCUAUUUUCUACACCAAACUUUUACUAUUAUAUUUACCAAACAGAUAUUAUGAAUAAUGCUCUGUAAUUUCUUAAUACAAUAUAGCAAAGGAGAGAUAAAUACUAGAUUCAUUCAAUUGAAUUGAUAAAUUUCUUCUUCCCCAUAGUUAAAGAACAACAGUGAACACAGUUGUGGGAAGACUAUUACUCUGAAUUAGAGGGCAGUGUUCACAUCUAUUAUACGAGUUUUAUAGGGGCUGCUAAUGAUAACCCUCAAAUUACAGACUAAAUCCAGUUAAGAGGUCAAGUACUGUGGUGCUAAUUAAUUCAUAAAGAUGUGCUUUGGAUUCUAAUGUUUAGGCUGCUUUUUCAUAUUGCAGUGUUAGAGUUCACAAGUUGUGCACUGAGAAGAAUGUAGGUACUUGUGACAAUGCAGGAGUAACAGCAUCUUGAGCAGGCAGAGAUGAGGAUGUACAUGUUUCUGAUAAUGGAGAAGAACUAGGUGCAUACUUAACAAAGAGAGACAUCCCAGCCCCCUCAAAUGAAAUGUGCAUGGUCGCUGGCACCAGAAGGGAGGAGUUUGUACUCACACACUGUCUCUAACCCAUCCUUUCACAUUAGGGAACUCCUUAGCUAUAAAUUCAUACUAUGUUUCUAAAUGAAAAAGAAGUGCAUGCACCUCCCUGGCAAAUAAAGGCCUGAAGAGAAUAAAAAAGAAUUUCACAGCUCCUCCAUCUAGGACUGAUUAGCUUAAAUGCAAUUACCCCUGCCCAAAAUCCGAUUUGUCAAACAGGGUGUCUAGAUCUUUGAAUCAGAUACCAAAGCAAAGUAGGGAGCAAACAAAUGGAUAUUAGAAGCCUGUUACCAGCUCCACCACUCACUGCCUGGCUUUUGACAAUUUUCAGUUUUGCAAGGAAAUAUGAUAAGUCUUGCUGUAAUUGCUAUUCGUACAGGGAAUCUGUAAACUAUUUAUUGUAUUUCAAGCAGAGAUUCCCAGGUUAGUACAUGUAAAUCCAGGAACCCCUGCAAAAUUAAGCAAUUCAUGUGCCCCUUGACUUUUACAAAAUUGCAGGGGUUUCCUUGACGUCAGUACUUUUUCUAGUCUCACCCUAACAACAAAUCUGACAGUGUCUGAGAAGCAGCCCCAAGAAGCUCUGAUCUAAUAGUUGUAACAGAAACAAUAAAAUGCUUUAAGCAUUUGCUUAACUUCAAGCCCAUGAGUUGUGCAAUUAAUUCAGUAGAGCUAAUCUCCAGAUUAAAAUGAAUCUCAUGCCUAAAUGUCUUGCUGGAUCGAAUGAUACCAGAUUGGUAGGUUUAUGAUUUAGGUAUCUUUAAAACUUGCGGAGAUCAGAUCUCCUGAUUUAAGAAUUUGUGGUCCAGCUGAAAGUGGUGUUGGGCUUAGGUUUCUAUGACAGUUUGGGGCAGGAGAUCUCUCAGUAUUCACAGGUACUUUAUGUUGUCUAAACAUUGACUAAUUUCUGUUUAGUUAUCUAAAUUUUCCAAAUGCUCCUGUGUAUGACUCAUAGUCUUGUAGCUCAUAUUUAGUCAUUUUAUUUCUCUCAACAGAAGGCUAAAACCUAUAGUGCUAUAAACCAUAAUGCCUCAGGCAACUGCAAUAAGACUACUGCAGUUUACAUAUUUGAAGAUAUGGCUCCUGCUCGAUACUACUUUUUGAUGUCAGUGUUACCAUUUGUAGUACAACAUGUAAGUAAUGCAUGUAGAAAUAUACACUGCAUCUUCCACUUACAGAGCAGUCUCAAUUAAUUGAAAGGAGCCUAUUGCAGGUAAUAGGCACUACUGAACAGUGCACAUUGUCUUGCAGUAUCAGGCUUGUAAUCUGUAUUUUAAAGCUGAAAAAUAAGGCUUUUACUUUAAAGUAGGUAUUUUGGGGCUUAUCUCCAUAAAAACAAAUCUCUGCAUAGCUGUAAGAUUCCAAGGUGCAAUUUAAACCAACAUAAGGUAAUAAGUAGCAAAAAGUGGGUUUUUUAGGUAAAAACAAUCCUCUGGUGUUUUACCCAGCACCAUUCCAAGCAGUGGUCUGAAAUUUACUGUCAGGUCAAUAUUCAAAAGAUGAGUGAUUCAUUUGCACUAUGGGUUGCUUUGUUUCCUAUUGAAUAGGUAAAGGUGUAGAACACUGAACAUCUGUGAUACAGAAAUAUCUGUACUGGAAAAGUGCUGCUUUUUUAAUUACCACAUUAAAAUAUUGAACACUCAGUACGCUGUAGGCAAUUUCUACUUCUUUCUGAUUAGCUUAUGGGAAUACAUUAUUUACAUUUGACAUGACAAUUUAGUUUUUAAGAAAUGUGCAGUAUGGCAACAAUGAAUAAAAAUCUGUUUCAGUCUUUUGGGAUAAAGGGUUUUAUUAUUAUCCUAAACAAUAGAAUGUCAGUUAAAAACAUACUAGAUUUUUUCCAAUAGUAAUCUCAUUUGAAUGUUUUGAUUUAUCAAAGCAUUUAAUGUUUACUUAAAAAACACAUUUCUGCUCCCCAGAGAAGUUCAUAAUUCACUCAGUAAAGAUUGAGCAUCAGAAAAAAUGUAUUCAAAUAACGGAGUAAAAUUCAGGAGAAACUGUUCUGGUUUUGCUUUGGUAGAUAUGCAGGUUAUUGAACAUUAGUGAUAUGCAUUUUAUGCAUGUUACACAUUUCCUUUUAUGGUCAUCUGAACAGUGUACUUUCUUUUAUUCAAAGUAUAGCAUUCAAAAAUACUGCUGCUGUGUAUUGUAAUAUUAAAAUCUUAGAUAUUUCAACUAAACAGAGGAAUUACAACUCUGAAAGACCAUAAUUCUUUUCACCAGUGAAACUACAUGUGACCAAAAUUGGAGUUAGGGUGUUUUCUUAAUAGUUAAUUUGAUAAAAUCCAGGUAAUUUAUGUAUGACUUAAGCUUUGGCUGACUGGAAAAUGGCAUUGUUCAUUAAUGAAUAGCAAACCUACACAACAGCUUAGAACAGGAACUGAAGAAUUCUCUACCUGUAUGAAAUUACAGAGGGAAUUUAGAGAGCUAAAAUGCAAUUAUUAGAACUGGAACAUAGCCAAGAUCCUUGGGUUAACUUCCCUGUUCUUAUUAGAAGCUACAUAUUAGAUCCUAUUUCUUGUCUAUCUUUGCUGUACAUUUGAUGUUUUUUCUUAGAAAAAUCUGAUUUUUUUUAAUUAAUUUUUUUUUGCCCCAUUAAAGUGAAUUCCAGUUUUAGUGGCUGGACAGAAGUGUUUCAGAACUUGUGGGUAUGCUUGGUCUUCAGCAGUUAAGUAAAAUGUAUUUAAACAGUGGUGCCGGUUUAAAAAUGGUAUCACUGAGAAGUUUCCAGGGCUCUGGUAGAGAGGCUGAAAGGAGUAGAUAUGGUCAGGACUUACAUAGUUUUAUAUUGCCUGUAAAAACAUAGCAUGAAGUCCUCAGCCAGUCAGGUCUUUGGUAAAACUCUCACUGAGCUUGGUGAAGGGAAGGUUUCAGCAUGACUCCGUCAGUGCUUUCCAUUUUAUCACCAAUCUUGUAGUACUUGGUAUUUUUAUUAUAUACUUAGCUCUGAGUCUUGGUUGUCACGAAACUCUCAACUUCAUUUUUAAAAGGUCUGUGCUAGGGCCAAAUCUACAAAAUAGUGUUGGCCCCAGAGUCAACUAAAUGGUUUGGUGCCCUGUGAAGAUGUGUUUGUGGAUUUUGAUUUUAGGUAACCACACCUUGCACCUUGCUUCCCCAUUAGUCUCUAAGUCCAUGCUUGCAAUUAGCUGAGCACUUGCACACCUAAAGCAGGAGGUGCUUCAGGUCCGCGUGUUGUUCUGGUCAUUGUAUACACUCUCUGUCUGCUUGUAGUUUUGCCCUAGAUGCACCAAGCCAUACCUCUGUAAUGGCAGAUCUAGACGAGAUGACAUUCAUUCUCCACCUAAACCUGGAAGUUUCUAAAGUAACUGGACCUGUAAAUUACCAAGAGAAGCAAUAUUUAGGAUAUUUUGGGCAUUUCCCACUAGAUUUUUUUUUAGAAAGCUUUUUCAUACUGGCUAUUGUGAACAUUGUCAUGGCCAAAACACAUCUCUACUUGUAGGCACAGAAACAGCCACCUUACCAAGCCAGAACUAGAAAUAUAAGGGAACACAGUACAAAUUCAGCUCUGGUAGUGCUUCAGAUGAGUCGAGUACUGUUACAGUUAGGGAUUGGUGUGAACUCAGCAUCUCAGACUCAUGCUCCCUUCCUCUAACCCUCUUCAUGUGCUAGAGACUAUUAAACAGAUCCAGAGCUGUGCAUCUACUAAGGUGUCUGCAUUUUUUUUAUGGAUUAACCUUUGAUUCUCUAGUUGCAGAGAAGAAGUUUGCACACAACCUCUUGUGCAUUUAAACAAAGGCCAAAAAAAUCCUCAUUAUAUUUUAUGCAAGUAGAUAACUUUUUGGGCCCAAGUCAUGAUUUUUCGGUGCUCAGCUUGCAACGUAUGGAAGAUAUAUGUCUCUAUGAAACUGUUUCUUCUCUCUGAGCAGAAGGUAGACAUGUUCCAGUGCAAACUAUAUGAAUAUCAUCACCAGCAAGCAUCCCUAAAAAGUUUUCCAUCUUAGUACAAAAUAUCCUAGGAGAUUUGAUGGGGUCAGGAGAAAGUUGGUACAAUAUGUCUUGGGGCUGUAUGGUUAUUACAUCAAACUCUACUUUUGGCAUUUGUGGACACUAGGAGAUGUUGCAUCAUUUACUGUAAGUCCAUUAAAAAAUGAAAGUUCCUUCAUUUUGAUGCACUGUUUUGUAGCCCAGCCCUGAAGUAGAAAAGCACAAGUCUAUAUAAUAAUGUGUACCUCUAGCCACUAAUGAAAACCCAGAAUCUGUACGGGAAUUACAUUACAGGCUCAGUUCACUAGCCAAAAUUAGUUGCUUCCAUUUAAUCCAGUUAUGUAUAUAUGUAUUUUUCUCCACUAAUCACUAGACCGCUAAUUCUGAAUGUUUCUGUGAUAGCUGAGAGUAUCUCCCUGGAGUGCAAUCAGGUUCCUACCACUGAUAUGCAUAUCUGAAAGGUCAUGAAGUUUUUAGCUUUCCUGUAGUAAAUAGUUCAGUUUUAAUUGAUACACAUCUUAGCCAUAAGAACACUCGAGUUUUCUUGUUUAAAGAACAGACAAAAAUGAAGGACUGAAAACUGAAGAAAAAUAGAAGCACAGAUUUCUUUAUACCUUAUUUGAGUGAAUGUGUAUGGUUCUUUGAUCAUAUCAAAAGAAAACUGUUGAUGACAUGUGCUGAAAAAUAAAACAACAUAACAUAUGGCUGAAAGCAUAUCAGCAUAGUACUUCUGUUUUUACACCAAUUUCUACUGAUUUUUUGUGAAGCACAUUUACUAAUAUUUUACAAAAUAUAUUGCACUGUUCAGAUUUUUGCUAUUUGCAGUUAUGACAGCUUUGGAAAGAACUAAUUCUUUUAAGUAGCCUACUGUUGUCACACGAUUUUUUAAAGAACUUCUUUGACACUGACCUGCUUGCUGGAUUAAUUGCAGAAAGUACUAAUUACAAACCAACAUUUAUAAACUACAACGUAUGAGUUUUAAACAAGGUGUAUAUCCUAUACCAUAUUCCUAGGAAUGGCUGACUACAAAAGUACAAGAUAAUUCAGACACAGUGUUAUUCCUUUCUGUGCAAUCUUUAGAAAACUUUACGUGAUAAACACCAUAUGAUAAGGUGGGAUGGUUCACGCUUUGAUGCUGGAGGUACUAAUUCCUAUGGAAGUGAGAAGAAGUAGACUGUUAACAGUCACUGUGGUUAAGCACAUCUUUGCCCAUGCAAGUUGAAAGACAUAGUAGGAAUCUCCAAACUCUGUGUGAUGGUAGUCUGAUCUGUGACUCUUUGAAAGGCUAUAGGUUUUUUCACUUCUAUAUUGUUCUCCCUAGUCCAAAGAGCUUAACAAAUAGUAAAGUGCAGGGUGAAAACCACAAACAUGCCAUACUAACAGGCACUUUUUAGAAUCCAUCACCACACCAGCAGAAUCUCAAACACAUGUAGCUUUUAACAAGAGAAGCAAGUUUAGAUGAUGUUAAUUUGGCUUUACUGUUAACUUUAAACAAACUUAUCUAGUAUUAGUCUUUUAUACACUUAAGCAGAAGUGUUGAUCUAAAUAAAUUGUACAUAAUUAUCUGCAUUUAAAUUCUUAUUAGCAGUAAUAUUUAUUAUUAUGAAUUAUAUUCCAUAGAAGCACUCUUACAGAUUUCAGUCUUGAAUUUUGGAAUCAGUCUAAGUUUUUAACAAGUAAAUCUAAGUUUAUUUCCUCAAAAGAUCUUAAAACAUGGACGAGUGGUGUUGUUGCUAUUUGCCUAGCAGGGAACCAGCAGUAGCCAAAUGGAAUGACCUGCUUGUGGCAACAUGGGGAGCUAAUGGCAUAGCCUAGAAAAGAAAUGGAGCAUGCCAAAGAUCCAUAUCCUGUCCUGUGGACUCUGCUGCCUUUCAUUGUUAUAUUUUCCAUCUGUGCAAACUAAUUUUUUUUCUGAUUGUUGGGUUAAGUAGUAUUCAGGAGUUAUUAAAGAAGCAAGGAGAUUAAAAAGAGGGAGAGUUUAAAUUUCGUAAUGCUUGUUCUUGAAGGCUGUAUGUGGAGGAAACACAUCUAUUUCAUAGUCUGCAUUUUAAAAAGCCACUAUACAGUGACAGCUUGUACCUUUGUGCAAUGCAAGAAAACUAAUAAUUGAAAACCUCUGAAGGGCUCAUGUCAUGUUUUUAAUGUAUUCCUUUUCAGUGUUCUGAGUAGAAGUUUUGUUGUUGCUAUGGGUAGGGGAUAGAUUGAACUGAUUACAUACUGUGUUAUAAAUAAGUGUAUUUUGUUCCCUGAGAAAUGAUUCUUCCUUCAGUAAUAGGAAAAAUAAACAAAGGAAAAAGGGUACAUUUAAGGUUGCUGUCAAGUCUUAGCUCUUCCUAGAUUUUCAGAUUUCUGUUCUCAGCUGCAACAUUCUAUCUAUAUAAUAUUUUUCUUUUAGUUUUAAAUCCAGGUUUAAGAAGAGACUUCUCCAAGUUAACCUUCAGCUCUACAACUGCUGGAUAAGCCCUUUGUCUGCCGCAACUGCAAGGAAAGGUGGGAAAGAUGUGGCUUGAAUCUACAUUUGCACUGGCAGGAGCCAUAUUGGGUUUGGCAUAAACUGGAGACAUCUAAAACUCUUCCAUCAUUUCUGACUACCUGAGACUGUGGGAUCAUUCAUAACUGCAGGUCAGGUAUAAUAGGCCAUGCUCUGGAAAGAUACUUUAACAAACGGGGAAUCCUCAGCAAGCCAGCUAGAUUAGUUUUCCAGAUGGUUUGUACCAUUUAAACAGAGGCAAAAAAUGUCACACUCCAGGUGUGACAGCAGGAUUUUCAGAAAUGCACGGUUCUGCUUUGAAUAAACUUGCUUGGGGAACAAAUAGUAUUGCAGUACCUCUCUGGAGUUCAGCUCAUGCUGCAAACCAUGAGCAAACUAAUCCAGUUCAUGCCUUUAACCAGUUGAAAAUCACAUUGCUGCAGCUACACUGCCAUUGAGAUCAGAGUUAAUUUAAAUCCAGCUUAACCUUGUUGACCCAAAUUGCAGUCACAUCUUGUACUACAGUGUGGACUCAGCACUGGUCAUGUGAUAUCCCCUGUCUUUCAAAUUUUUAUUUUGCUAGGCCACUCCCAUCUUUUCAGUUGAAGUGAGUAAUUGAUCUUGUUAUCUAUUCUGCCACUAAGAGAUGCAUCACAACUCACAUGGUGGCUGGUAAUGCCCAUAUCAAUUUGUGUGACAACUUUACAGUUAAAUCUUAGCUGCAGUCAUCACUGAUUAUCAGGGGAAUUUCUUAGUAUCUUUCUCUUAUUCAGAAUUUGCAGCCUUCCUUGCUACAUAAACAGCUUGUUCAUGUUGCCAGUAAUGAUAGUAAGUAAGAGAAAGUUGAAUUUUUAUAGCCCCAUUAUCACAGUGUGGUUUUAAAGGUGCACAGCACCUCGAGAAAACAAAACAAAACAAAACCAAACCAGGAAAAACAUGGAGGGAUAUUUUAAAUCUAUAAUUUCUCCACUGAAAUACAGCCACAUAUAGCACAAGACAAAAUAUGAUAAUGAUUAGGCCACACAGAGCUGCAUUACAUGGCCAUCCAGGAGAGAAAAGGAAGCAGAGAGCAUCAUCAGGCAUACCACAAGUCUGGGUAGACCUCCCAAGUUGCACUUUAGCCAAUACCCAGUUGCAAUUUAGCCGUGACACUGAUGUUCACAAACAUCUCCUUGGAAAGUACUGUAUUUUAGUCACUAUUUUACUGACCACAAAUGCAUACAUGUUUUCUCUUAACUAAAGGGAAGUGCACCCAAUUGGACAAAGAAACUGCAUCACCAGCUAUACCAUUUCCUGCAGCAUUUCAGUUUCUAUGGAUAGCUCCUUAAAGGGUUAUGUAUAUCAAGGUGAAAAUGGUAGUUGCAUUGUUGCAUUACAAAGAGGUAAACUUAUGUAUCUGACCUCAUGUUAAUGUGUUCCUGGAUGAAGAUUCUUUGCUAUACAUUUGUCACAUAUACUCUCACAUAUACUCUGGUGAUGCAAAAUACAUCCAGUUUGGGCAUAAAAGGUAAAGAAAGAUUGUUCAAUAUUCACAGGGAGCAUGAAGCUAAAUACUUGUUUUUCAAUCAUUUAGGCAUUUCCUUCAUAGUAUUUUCCUCAGUGGAUCUUAUGUGGCAUUAAUAUGAUGCAUUCUCUGCCUGUGGUUUCCCUUUUUUGAAUGUUAUGUGUUUUCUUAUGUGCACUGCCAAAAUUGCCUCGUUCUAAUGCAGGAUCAUACUUUGCUUCCUCACUUGCCCGUUUGUCCACUUUGGGCUAAUGUUAGUAAACAUUCCUUAAAGACAAUCGCUUUUAAUCUUGUCAUAGAUGCCUGUGUUGUGAGGGUGAAAAUUAGUUAUUAGCUUAGCUUUUCAUCCAUGCAUAAUAAGAUGUUAAAAUCAGAGAUGUUUGCUUAGGGCCAUGAGAAGCAUCCUGCUCUGAGCUUACAAGUGCUGAAUUUAUAAAAUGCAACAUAUUUAAAAUAAACAAGCAGAAGGCAAAUGCCAGUUUAAAAUGAGAAAAAAUCUGUUUUGUGUGUAUUAGUCUUUAUGUAAGGAGUUUAAGGCAUCUUCUUGACUGCACCAAAGGAAGAAAAAUAUGCUCAGUCUUUGCUGAUUCUUAUCCCUCCCCCCACCCUUUUUAUAAUAGCUGAUCAAUGCAAAAAAACUAUGCCAUGCUCUUCUUACAGUGAGGGCUUUCCUCCUGAAUGGGUUUGUCAUCAGCUUGGUCCUUGCAGCGUUAAGCAUCCUCAGUCUUCAUGCUGCACCUUAUCAAACUAAGCCCUGGGAACAAACAAUACCAAGACAAAGUCAGCCUGGAAAAAAAACCAAAACAAACCACAAAUGAAACCUGUCCCUUGCAAAAUAGUGACAAGGCCUCUCUUUGCACUUGUGUUGCAAGGUAAAGCUGGUGUAAUUUAGAGAACAUACAACCUAAAGAGCCCACUCUUCCUUCUGCGAUGGAGCACCUGUGUGCAGGAUGGGGAGGCAGGAGCUCUCUCUGCAAAUACCCACAGAGCUGUGACAACCUCCCAUGUUCCUUCACUGUUAUCCACUGUAGUUCAAUCAGCCAGAGCAAAGGAUAUAGAGUAGGUGAUGGUUCCCUUGGGAAUGUCUACUUUAGAAUCAUGAUAUUUGGCAAUGAAAGCAAUCAGUGAAUUCAGGUACUUUCAGGAAGACUUCUCAGUGUUCUCUUUUGUAGUCCUGAGUACAUGCAUAAUAAAAAUGGCUACUGAAAAAAACACAGGUAGGCUCUAAAUGCAUGUAUAAUAUAAAAUGCAGAGUUGUACACCAGUCUGCUGGAUGACAGGCUUGAGUAUUUGGAUUGCCUACCAAGUGUUGAUGAAAAGCCACACAGAUUCUUAAUUCAGAAACUCCAAUUUUUCCUCUGUUCCUGUGUUCAUUUUCUUUAUCAGCAGGGGAUGACUUACACUUUCAAAACUGAUUAACAUUUUAAAACUGUGGAAGCACUUUGUGUGGCAUUUGAAAUAAUUUUAACCCUUUAGCUCUUUGCUGGAGCUCUUCUUGGUUUUUGUCUUUUCCCUUCUUUUUCUCUUAGGAUUACAGGUGGUGCCAGCACGUCAGCACUUCCAGAAAGUAAGUAUUUUGCACUACAUGGAAGGCACUGGAGACAUCAGUUACAUUAACUAAAUUUUGGCAGUACAAACAAGUGGAGGUUUACCAGCUUUCACCUUGUUGCCUAACCUAUUCACAUGGGUGAAGGAAACAGCCUUCCCCUAAGGCUUUGCGAAACCCAAUAGUUUCCUUAAUCCUUUCCACACCCUGUUUGUCCUCAGCAUAAUAUCUCUGAUAUGGCUGUUUAAAGUCAACAGGACUUACCCUUUUCAGCACAUUUUCCCCUCAAUCUCUAUUUUCUGUUAUGUCAUCACUCACAUGCUUGAACCCAUUGAAGUACAGGCAAAGCAGGGACUCACUACCCAAAGGUCCAUCUUCCAACUGUGCUUAGCUUUGCUCUCAGGCUGCCAAAGCCCAUUCUAAAGCAUGACUGAGGAAGACUAUUCACUUAAAAAGAAAUACAGUACUUGAAGGCAUUUUUCCAUAUCCACAGGCAAACGUGUAGCUGCAACGUACGUAGGAUCAUUUGCAGCCAAGGAAAACUGUUAAGUGAUGCCUACAGAUUUGUCUUUCAUCCACUCACAAGUGCUGCCACCUGUGAAUUAAAAAGGUCACUGUUCAAAUCCAGUAAUUGGGUUUAUAACAUGACUAAAGAUAUGUAGAAAGGAUCUAAUUCCAGUGUUGCUUGAGUAAGGACAAUCCCCACUGACCUUGGUGGAACUUGCAUUUGAGGACUCAUUUUGUCUCAUGACUCCAAACAUGAACGAGGACAUUACUCACCAGCUGCUGUUCUGCAGUGCUGUAAAUAUGAAUUUAUUUUGCUUCUUACUGUUUUUCAGCACACAUAAGUCCAGUAACAGGAAAGUUUUCCUACUCUUUUAUAGGUAAGAAUAAAGGACCAAAACUGCAUUUCAGUUUUUCUGUAAGAUAGUGUGAUAAAAAGCUGGGCACAGGUCUCUUUUCUAGGUUAUCAGUUUUAAGAAUUCAGAAAAGUUAUGCAUGGUCCGGUAGUCAAGGACAGGAAAGGAGAAAGGACAAGAAAGGCACAUUAUGUCUGCAUCUGAAGAUGAAGUAUCCAUUUCCCAACCUACAUGUCUUUUAACCUUUCCCUCUUUCACUUUCCAGCUCUGCUUUAGCUGACCUCACACCCCAACGCCCAUAUUUUCCCUCAGGAUUCCUUGCUUUGGAGAUUCCUGCUAGCCCUGUACCUGCAUGAAUUGAUGGGAAUGUUGGUUUUAGUAUGUACUUUUGUAACUUGUUUGGUAAUGGCCUGCCACCAUUCUUCAGCAUAUAUUAACCAAAAGAUACAGUAAACAUAAAUUCUUUAUAGUCAUGUGGAAAGAACAAAGAAAAAUGGAAAAUGCAAAACUCAUGGGAGAACUGAUCAGGGAUGUACUUAGUAUUCUCAAAAUUCACAUAUACUUUCUGGAAAUGUAAUUAUUUUGACAAUUAGUUUUAAAAAGAAAACCCUUUUGGCUUUACUCUUUUUCCCUGUAAGUAUAUACAGCACAUUACAUUUCAAUCAGUUUAUCUUUGUUUCAUUAAAUAAGAGCCAGCAGGAAUAAGAAGUAGAAAAUAAUGCUUGUAGCGUUGGAAAAGCUAGUGCUUAAAAAUCUUCCAAAAUAUGAAAACCUUAAGCAUUUCUCAAUAUACUAACUACUUACUAUUUUGUCUGAUAACUAGUAUUCUGAAAUAUUAGUCGCUUUGCUAAAAUUAGUAGCUUUUUUGGACAUCUGAUUAACAGGUGCAAGCAGCAAUUUUUCAGCUUUGUAGGCAGGUAAUUUACAGCUUAUUGCAGGGGAAAUAGAACAGGAGGAAAGAAAAGCAGGAAUGUUUCAUCUACAUUUCUUCCGUCUCUCUUUGAAAAGUUUCAUGUUAAUAUUCAGGAACAAUUUCCCUUUUCUAAUGUUCUUCCAGUAGUCAUAUUUUAGUUAAUUAUCUUGGUUGUCCAUUGUAAAUAAAAAGCAAGAAAUUGCCCGGUUCCCUUUGAUCAUGGUUCUGUUCUUUCCCCCAAUGGAAAUCACACAUGGAGAUUUUUCUUUUCCUUUCCUUCAGAGGCGAAAAGUGUUCCUCAUUAGGAAAAGCAGAUGCAUGCUAUCAUAGAGGGUUGAGGGUUAUAGUUCCUUUCAAGCAGUUUCCUUUCUCUCCGGGUUUAAUUCCCAAGCAUUGUCAGUGUUCUGAGUGUCCACGUAUACAGAAUACAGUGUCAUUGGAAGCUCAAGGCAAACAAUAUGUAAGAAUAAGAAACCAUAUUAAAAGCAUAAAAGCUAAUGAGGAUGUAGUGCAAAUACUCCUCAUAAUCAUUGCCCAGCUGACUUCCUCAGCGGAGUUAGACUGAAGUAGUUACAUCAGGAAAAACAGGAACCCUACAGGUGGAUGCCAGUAUUCUCCCUUCAUCGCUGCAUGAAAUAAUCAGGAAGAGAAAUGCAAAAAUCAACAAGAAUUCUUCCUACACCUUUUUGAUAAUUCUAAUGUAAUUGAAAGAAGGUAUGAACCCAUAUUCUUUUUCAUGCUUAUUCAUAUUUUGAAAGUUGGUUCUAAAGUACUUUUUCUCUUCAAAUUAAACACUUUUCCUGGGGACAUACAUAUCAAUUACCUUGUAAGUCUACAAAAGCCAACAGUACAAAUAUUGCAGACAUUCAAUAAACACAGGGCUGAAACAAUAUACUGCAAUUACUUGUCAUACAAGAUCUCGAAACAAGGGAAGAGUUAUACUCUAUUCAGGAAACAUUGUCUCAAAGUUUGCAUAUAUCCCCUUUUUUUUUUCCUUGUGAAGUUUUAAAGUUACAUACACACAUACACUUUCUUGGAGCCUUAUGAAACUGAAAUGUCAAGUGAGAGUUGCUUUAUAUCAUGUUCUGUCAAUCAAAGUAAGCAAGGCUUUAUGCAUCUGUUGCUAGUAUAUUGGCACUUUUUGAAGAGUGUUUCGGAGGGAGCGAGAAUAAAUAAAGAUCCUUCAGGCACUUUCUCAUUUAUGGAUGAGGUAUCAAAGCAGUCUGAAACUUCAUUUUCAGCCUGAUACCCUGAAGAUUGUUGGCUGAUAAUUCUGGAUGGAACAGCUUAUCUGGGAGGAUUAGGGAGAACAUGGGCUUCCUAUUACUGUUGGCUUCAGCCUAUUCAGCUGGGCAGACUCUGUCACACAUUAUCUGUGCCUUUACAUAUGUCACUAAUCUUAUCUAUAUCUUUUCAGCUCCUUCUGUUGGAGCUGUGGUUUCCUGGACCUAAACCUCCCAUUUCUUCAUUACACCAGCUGUAUAGGCAUUAGCCUUCUCUAGCAGCCUUUCUGCUCUGUGUCAUUCAGUAAUGGCUAGUAAUGCAAAGGUAUGAGAAGGUAAUGGUAGUGCUUUAUCUCAGAUCUUACAGGCCUCACAUCAAUAUAUUAAAUAUAUACCUCCCUUCCCUCCAGCAUCCUCCAUCCUCCCCCCACCAUUUUUGACCAAAUCCGCUUAACAAAAUAAAAUCACCUCAACAAUAGAGUAUCUCUGCAAUCAUUAAAAAUAACAGAAGCAGGCGACUUGGGGGCAGGUAUAUAUGCUGGAAGGGUCAAAGUAGUUUGUAACAAGCAGAAAAAAAAACAUCAGCACCAAAACUAAUCUGCAACUUCUGCCAUUCUCUCCUGGAUUGCUCAUUGGUGUUACACAUUUAUUGGUGUUGGUCACUAGGGCAAAGUAGCUCAGAAGGAAGAUUAAACCCCCUCAGAGUCCCUGCCCUUUUUAAAUUUUAGAGGAAAGCCCCUUCCCCACAUCUACUCCCCCAUACUUCCCUAGCUCCAGCUGGCUCCCUGCCCGCCGAGCUAAGCUGUAUCCUUUCUCUCCCAUUCUGCCUUUGCCUCUAAGCCUUCCUGCCACACUGCCACCCUGGUGUCUUCUUUCCUUCUUUUUCUGUUCUUACAUUCUGCCAUUUCUUCACCUCAUUCAGCCAUUUUCAACUUACCUCAUUCCCUGUUGCUGUCAUAAAAAUCACAAUAAAAGUUUUUGAAAGUGAAGAAAAUGGAAACAAUAAGACACCACUUUGCCCUUUUAUCUUCUCUCUAACUCUUUUACAUUGUUAGAUCUUUUGGGCAGGAGUCACUCUUGUGUCUUUUCGUUGUGCCUUGUACAAUAUUCAUCAGAAGAAAAAAGAAAAAUUAUCACUCAGUUUUAUCUUAAUGGCUUUUUUUGGGUACCACCAGAGUGCUAACUAGAAAAACGUGUCACAUUUCUAACUCAUAACUCACUCAGUGGUACUAUCUGGCACUUUAUUUGCAACUAGUAAUUCAGCCAGUUCUAGAUAUGAUUAAUUUUAAAUACAAUUUAAAUAAAAUCAAAGUAGGGAAAUUUUCCUUUCUGUUUUUACUGCCGUCAUGUUUUGUUUUACUUUAAAUUGCCAAGUUAUUAGGGAUCUGUAUCUUGUCUGUUCUCUCAAGGUUGAAACAAUAAGCUUUAUCUGAACCUGACAAACAUAAUUUCUCUCCUUCAUAAAUGAAUGACUUGAAUGUCACGGUUUCCCCACCCCACAACCACAAGCCCAGUCACGGCCAUGUCAUUUAACACAGACCCAUUUUUUAUUCUACGACAAGCAGAAGCAACAAGAAGUGUAGCCUGUAUCCAAAAGUUAUACAAAUGCUGCUGAAUUAUAUAGGCAAGACAGCCACAAAGAGUUGUGUUUGCUCCAGCAGUGCUGGCAACUGCAGGAAAUAAUGUUUUGCAGCAACAGAAGAUUUCCUCGACUACUUGCAGUCUUUCAGAGAUUUGGAAAAACUUCUCAUUGCGAACCCUGCAACUGUUGCUGUUUUUCAGCACACACAGGACAUUCAUGGUCACUCAAGGACAUAAAGAACUUAGUUUCAGAUGCUUCCAGGGAAAUUGUUUUCACUCUUCUAAUCUGGUUGAUUUUUUUCUUCUCUAGGCUCUUGUACAUGGUCUUUUUCAACAAGCACUGGGAUGAACCGAGCAUUUGGUAUAGAGUUCACUUUGGCCAUGGAGCUUGGCCAGCAUGCAGGUCACCAACUGAAAAGUAUAGACUUAAAGAGGGCAAGGCUAAUUCUCAACACUAGAGCAGAAUCCAAUGUUUCAUCAGGUGCACCUGAACCCCUUUAUGAUACAUACAGUAUGAAGAGACAUAUAAAGAACCUCUUAAAUACUUAAUUUAUAGUCAGCCCUUGUCUGAGUAUGUGUCAUUUAUGAAAGGAUAAUACGUGGCAUGUGGACUCAUCAUUAGCCCAAGGUAACAGAGGUUAUGACUUCUAAUUCUGUUCUCAGCCCUGCUACAGAGUUACUACAUGACCUUGCACAAAUCACUUAACCUUUAUGUGACUAAUUUUAUCCAUCUAUAAAAUCGGGAUAAUAAAAUCUUUAGCUACACA
Long non-coding RNA from Falco peregrinus (peregrine falcon), 16535 nucleotides. RefSeq lists it as uncharacterized. The transcript is spliced from 4 exons. The record is from RefSeq and is a predicted model, not a curated record. Lineage: Eukaryota; Metazoa; Chordata; Aves; Falconiformes; Falconidae.